UGGCGUAAAAAGAAUCGAAAUCUGUUGAAUUAUGGUGAAGUCCGCUAAGUCUCGCCUCGACGAAGAAGAUGAACCUGAUGGUUACGACUCCUCUUCCUACAGAGGUGAAUUAGCGAAGGUAGAUGGUAGUAGCAGUGAUCAGAAGCUGAAUACGCACAGGUCCAAGCAUUCGGAGACAGAGCACCGUAGAAGGAGCAAGAUUAAUGAGAGGUU
This 213-nucleotide unclassified non-coding RNA is filed under the name Hevea brasiliensis (rubber tree). The record is from RNAcentral. Lineage: Eukaryota; Viridiplantae; Streptophyta; Magnoliopsida; Malpighiales; Euphorbiaceae.